ACCGAGUUAUACAACUCAUCAACCCUGUGAACAUACCUAUAACGUUGCCUCGGCGGGAACAGACGGCCCUGUAACACGGGCCGCCCCCGCCAGAGGACCCCCUAACUCUGUUUCUAUAAUGUUUCUUCUGAGUAAACAAGCAAAUAAAUUA
RNAcentral lists this unclassified non-coding RNA (151 nucleotides) under soil metagenome. RNAcentral's name for it is "partial internal transcribed spacer 1". The record is from RNAcentral.